UGUGCCAUCUCUGAGCAGAAUCCUCCAUCUUUGGGACCAUCGUUCUCUUCUCACUACCAUGCGCCUUCUUGGUCCUAGAUAAUGAUACCAUUAACCUGAAUCCCAGAAGGAUGAGUGAGAAAUAGACUUGAUAAAAAUCAACAUACCACUGAAUUCUGCUGUUCUAAAAUCUGAGGCCUCUUGCUGUCUGGGUGCUUCAGGAAGACAUAUGCCUUCCACUGCCCACGGGAACAGUUCUUCUCAUCCCUUUUCUCGCAAAGGAGUAUCAUAGAAAAAAAAUUGAAAAAUACUUCCCCAUGUGAAGGAGCUUUGGUUCAGCUGCAGAGCUAAACUCACAUCUGCACUAAAUUGGAAUUGGCUGUGAAUGAUUACAAAUGAAAAUCUGUUGUUGCUGAAGGAUCUUAUUUGCAACAAAAGACAAGAACAGGAACAAAGAAAAUGCAACCUACAAUGCAGUAUUAGAACUUCAAAGGAAAACAAAAUGCAUGUUUACAGGUAAAGAAUCCUCCAAAAAUUCUAGGGUUCGGUUAAAAAUUCUCUUCCAAACCUCUUAGCAAGCCCAGUGAGAAAGAAAACACAUUUGUUUUCAAAUUGUAAGUAAGGAAAAAAAAUGCUUUUUAACCGUAUGACCUUAGGCAAAUUAAGUAAUCACCCUGUGCCUCCGUUUCUUCAUAAGCUUAAUAAGAACGAUAGAAGUAACUUGGUUAUAUAGGCAUGUUAUGAGGAUUAAAUCAAACGUGCCAGUGUUAGUAAAGCAUUUAGAACAGUGGCUGGCACAAGGUAAGCACUAUUUGAGUGUUUUUAAAAUAAAACAAUAAAAUAAAUGCUAAGGAAAAUUCUCAAGCAAUGUAAAGUUUCACCCAGUACCUAAUUUUAAAGGAUAGUUCUCAUUGGGAGCUUCGCCUUAUCAACAGGAGAGUAAGAGAGACAAGGUAAAAAUGUUCACUUAUGACUUCUUUGUCGCAAACACGUUUGUGGGAUUUGUGGAAUGUUUUCUUGACUCAUCCCUCAGUAGGUGCUGAGGACAGAACGUUGAAAUCAGGGAAAGCAAUUUUGCAGCAGGCCA
This 1066-nucleotide long non-coding RNA is filed under the name Delphinapterus leucas (beluga whale). RNAcentral's name for it is "lncRNA (ENSDLEG00000002301.1)". Lineage: Eukaryota; Metazoa; Chordata; Mammalia; Artiodactyla; Monodontidae. The record is from RNAcentral.